ACACAUACCUGGCAGAGGAGUGGUGGUUUUCCCAUGGUGAGUCUCACCCAUUGCACUCCAGAUGUGCUGAGCCCUGCUAUUUCCCCAGGUAUGUGAAACUCCACUGCAUCAUUUGUGGUAGUAGGGGACUCCAUUUGCACUCUCCCCUA
Molecule: small nuclear RNA, 149 nt
Filed under: Echinops telfairi (small Madagascar hedgehog)
Lineage: Eukaryota; Metazoa; Chordata; Mammalia; Afrosoricida; Tenrecidae
Description: U1 spliceosomal RNA (ENSETEG00000022734.1)
Rfam family: U1 spliceosomal RNA
About the family: U1 is a small nuclear RNA (snRNA) component of the spliceosome (involved in pre-mRNA splicing). Its 5' end forms complementary base pairs with the 5' splice junction, thus defining the 5' donor site of an intron. There are significant differences in sequence and secondary structure between metazoan and yeast U1 snRNAs, the latter being much longer (568 nucleotides as compared to 164 nucleotides in human).
Source: RNAcentral